UGGGGAAUUUUGGACAAUGGGCGCAAGCCUGAUCCAGCAAUGCCGCGUGCAGGAUGAAGGCCUUCGGGUUGUAAACUGCUUUUGUACGGAACGAAAAGCCUCUCUCUAAUACAGGGGGGUGAUGACGGUACCGUAAGAAUAAGCACCGGCUAACUACGUGCCAGCAGCCGCGGUAAUACGUAGGGUGCAAGCGUUAAUCGGAAUUACUGGGCGUAAAGCGUGCGCAGGCGGUUUUGUAAGACAGUGGUGAAAUCCCCGGGCUCAACCUGGGAACUGCCAUUGUGACUGCAAGGCUGGAGUGCGGCAGAGGGGGAUGGAAUUCCGCGUGUAGCAGUGAAAUGCGUAGAUAUGCGGAGGAACACCGAUGGCGAAGGCAAUCCCCUGGGCCUGCACUGACGCUCAUGCACGAAAGCGUGGGGAGCAAACAGGAUUAGAUACCCUGGUAGUCCACGCCCUAAACGAUGUCAACUGGUUGUUGGGGAUUUAUUUCUUCAGUAACGAAGCUAACGCGUGAAGUUGAUCGCCUGGGGAGUACGGCCGCAAGGUUA
This 548-nucleotide ribosomal RNA is filed under the name uncultured bacterium. Its description in RNAcentral is "bacterial SSU rRNA". It matches the Rfam family "Bacterial small subunit ribosomal RNA", at positions 355 to 896 of the family's 1533-position model. The record is from RNAcentral.